GUUGUUUAAAACAAACGUGCAUUCAGACACGUUAUUCAUUGGCGGCUGUUGACUAUGAUUUAAAAGAAAGAAAAACAUUUUGAGAUGGACAGGGUGUGGCAGAGAUGGACACUUUGGCCUUGCAUGCUGCGGAUUUCUGUUCUGCUGACUUGUAGCGUCUAAUCUUAACUGCGUGACCUCUCUUGGUGAGGAUGAUGCGUCAGGAUGGGCGAUCGAGGGCAAGAGCCUCCCGGUUGGCAGUGAUGCCAAUAUCUUUGAAGUCAAGGAAAGCAUCCUUCGUCGCGUAAGAGCAAAUAUCAUGCUGAGGACUGGGACGAGCACAAUUAAAGCCCAUGCAGCUGUUUGACACCAUAUAGGUGACAGGAAAGGACUUGAAUUCCUCUACAUGAUCGAAGACUGUGACCUAAUCCUGUUGGGGAACUGCCAGACGAAUCUAAAGGACUUGUGUGGUCACCCAAAUUUCUCCAUUAUCUUCUAGAUGCCCUCCCUGCUGUCAAAAGCCUUGGUCAUGUCAACAAAGGUCUUAUAAAGAUGAUGGUGCUGUUCUUGGAACUUUUCCUAGGGCUCCGGACGCGAAGAUGUCUGUGGUGCCGCGCCCAGCACUGGCCCGGCUUUCAGGAAGAAUGUCACGCUCAAAAUGGUGCAGGGAGGGGUUAAAGAGGAGUUGGGCCAAGAUUUAGCUUUAUCAUAAAAAUUAUUUCAUAUAAAAAAAAAAAAUUUGUAAAGCAUGCUAUGCUUUCUUGUGAAUUAUGUUUCAUGCAUAGAGUUUCUAGUAUUUGUGUGCUCCAGCCAUAAGCAUAUUAAAUUUAGGUAGAGAGGAUAUACAAGCAAACUCCACAGCAGACAAAAACAGAUGGAAAACAGUAUUCAAUUAAACAUUUUUAAUAUCAUACUCUCACCUGUUCCAAUAUUAGAAGAAUACUUUAAUUUUUACAAGUUUUUUAAAAAAAGCAAUUUCCAGAAAAACAGUAGUUUUUUUAAACUGUUCAUGCAAUCUUUCAUUUUUGAAAGUGGGUCAUGAUGCAUACAUAUCACAUGAAAGAUAGCAGCAUUUGUGCAAGCAGGUAUGCACAUGCUUUCACAACCUUAGUUUUUUUUUCAAAUACAUGUGUCUCUUCUCCAAAUACCUGCAAUAUUUACGCAAAUGUGUUAAUGUUUUAGUAGUUCAGAGCACAAAUCUAAUCAGGGAUAGAAGUCAGACACCAUCCUGCAAGUCAGUAUGCUAAUGCUUGAGGGGCUAAAUAACAAUUCAGUAUUUUCAAAACUAAAAUAUGGAUAUAACAUUCUUCCUGGGAAGGGGAGUGACAGAAGCAUGAAGCAGAACAAAACCUGCUUCUUCAGUCCCCUUCCUUCAGUUUUUUAAAAAAAAAGUUCCCAAGCAUUUUUCCAUGUUAUCAAUGUCACAGCAGAAAUAACAAUAUCUUUUAUCACAUAUCAAAAAGUAACAUCUAGAUAUUAAAUAGGAUUAUCAUGCUGCCGUAUUAAUUUUCUACCUUUAUGGUCCCAGAAGUAGAUACAUAAACCUUCCAUGUUACAUGUGCACAGUGAUUUGAAUUAAAAUAAGGUCAUCAUAUACAACACAAACAUAGAACAGAGAAAUUAUUUAAAAUUUUUCAGAAAGUCAAAUAUGACGUUUAUAAGCUUGACAUGUGGUAGGCAUAUAGUUGACCAAACGCAAAUGUUUCUUGGAAUUUGUCAACAAGAGCCUUGUAAGAGAUUGCAUUAGGUAAAGCCAAACACAACAUGCAUGUAAUGAAUUGGGACAUUACUAUUAAAACAUCACAGCUAUAUUUUUACAUUAUAUUCUUGUUCACUGAAUACAAAUAAAAUUGCGAUCAACAAGUAUUUUGGAACAUUACCUCAUGUAAAUUUUCAAUUCAUUAUUACUCUGUCGUUUGAUAAAUUUCCCCUGGCACUGAAAUAAAACUGCUGUUUUAACAGCUUUACAUAACUGAUAUAUGGUGGGGAGAAUUCUGUGGCAUUUUGCACUGUCUUAAAAAAAGUUUAUGAAUAGAGCAUUCUGUGUAUGCCUAAUAGAUAUCAAUAUAUAUAGUCUUUUUUUUU
This is a long non-coding RNA of Pomacea canaliculata, 2064 nucleotides long. RefSeq lists it as uncharacterized. The record is from RefSeq and is a predicted model, not a curated record. The transcript has 2 exons. Lineage: Eukaryota; Metazoa; Mollusca; Gastropoda; Architaenioglossa; Ampullariidae.